This 253-nucleotide ribosomal RNA is filed under the name uncultured bacterium. Its description in RNAcentral is "partial 16S ribosomal RNA". It matches the Rfam family "Bacterial small subunit ribosomal RNA", at positions 524 to 776 of the family's 1533-position model. The record is from RNAcentral.
UACGUAGGCAGCAAGCGUUGUUCGGAUUUACUGGGCGUAAAGGGUGCGUAGGUGGCUCUAUAAGUAUGGUGUGAAAUCUCCCGGCUUAACUGGGAGGGUGCGCCGUAGACUGUGGGGCUAGAGUGUGGGAGAGGAAAGUGGAAUUCCUGGUGUAGCGGUGAAAUGCGUAGAUAUCAGGAGGAACACCGGUGGUGUAAACGGCUUUCUGGACCAUAACUGACACUGAGGCACGAAAGCGUGGGUAGCAAACAGG